This 1346-nucleotide ribosomal RNA is filed under the name uncultured bacterium. Its description in RNAcentral is "partial 16S ribosomal RNA". It matches the Rfam family "Bacterial small subunit ribosomal RNA", at positions 28 to 1381 of the family's 1533-position model. The record is from RNAcentral.
GACGAACGCUGGCGGCGUGCUUAACACAUGCAAGUCGAACGGAAAGGCCCUGCUUUUGUGGGGUGCUCGAGUGGCGAACGGGUGAGUUACACGUGAGUAACCUGCCCUUGACUUUGGGAUAACUUCAGGAAACUGGGGCUAAUACCGGAUAGGAGCUCCUGCUGCAUGGUGGGGGUUGGAAAGUUUCGGCGGUUGGGGAUGGACUCGCGGCUUAUCAGCUUGUUGGUGGGGUAGUGGCUUACCAAGGCUUUGACGGGUAGCCGGCCUGAGAGGGUGACCGGCCACAUUGGGACUGAGAUACGGCCCAGACUCCUACGGGAGGCAGCAGUGGGGAAUAUUGCACAAUGGGCGGAAGCCUGAUGCAGCAACGCCGCGUGCGGGAUGACGGCCUUCGGGUUGUAAACCGCUUUCGCCUGUGACGAAGCGUGAGUGACGGUAAUGGGUAAAGAAGCACCGGCUAACUACGUGCCAGCAACCGCGGUGAUACGUACGGUGCGAGCGUUGUCCGGAUUUAUUGGGCGUAAAGGGCUCGUAGGUGGUUGAUCGCGUCGGAAGUGUAAUCUUGGGGCUUAACCCUGAGCGUGCUUUCGAUACGGGUUGACUUGAGGAAGGUAGGGGAGAAUGGAAUUCCUGGUGGAGCGGUGGAAUGCGCAGAUAUCAGGAGGAACACCAGUGGCGAAGGCGGUUCUCUGGGCCCUUCCUGACGCUGAGGAGCGAAAGCGUGGGGAGCGAACAGGCUUAGAUACCCUGGUAGUCCACGCUGUAAACGGUGGGUACUAGGUGUGGGGUCCAUUCCACGGGUUCCGUGCCGUAGCUAACGCUUUAAGUACCCCGCCUGGGGAGUACGGCCGCAAGGCUAAAACUCAAAGGAAUUGACGGGGCCCCGCACAAGCGGCGGAGCAUGCGGAUUAAUUCGAUGCAACGCGUAGAACCUUACCUGGGUUUGACAUGGAUCGGGAGUGCUCAGAGAUGGGUGUGCCUCUUUUGGGGUCGGUUCACAGGUGGUGCAUGGCUGUCGUCAGCUCGUGUCGUGAGAUGUUGGGUUAAGUCCCGCAACGAGCGCAACCCUUGUUCACUGUUGCCAGCACGUUAUGGUGGGGACUCAGUGGAGACCGCCGGGGUCAACUCGGAGGAAGGUGGGGAUGACGUCAAGUCAUCAUGCCCCUUAUGUCCAGGGCUUCACGCAUGCUACAAUGGCUGGUACAGAGAGUGGCGAGCCUGUGAGGGUGAGCGAAUCUCGGAAAGCCGGUCUCAGUUCGGAUUGGGGUCUGCAACUCGACCUCAUGAAGUCGGAGUCGCUAGUAAUCGCAGAUCAGCAACGCUGCGGUGAAUACGUUCCCGGGGCU